UACGUAGGGGGCAAGCGUUAUCCGGAUUUACUGGGUGUAAAGGGAGCGUAGGCGGCGGAGCAAGUCAGAAGUGAAAGCCCGGGGCUCAACCCCGGGACGACUUUUGAAACUGCCCUGCUUGAUUUCAGGAGAGGUAAGCGGAAUUCCUAGUGUAGCGGUGAAAUGCGUAGAUAUUAGGAGGAACACCAGUGGCGAAGGCGGCUUACUGGACUGACAAUGACGCUGAGGCUCGAAAGCGUGGGGAGCAAACAGG
Molecule: ribosomal RNA, 253 nt
Filed under: Pseudocoprococcus catus
Lineage: Bacteria; Bacillati; Bacillota; Clostridia; Lachnospirales; Lachnospiraceae
Description: Coprococcus catus partial 16S ribosomal RNA
Rfam family: Bacterial small subunit ribosomal RNA
Source: RNAcentral